RNAcentral lists this ribosomal RNA (2651 nucleotides) under Salmonella enterica subsp. enterica serovar Enteritidis. RNAcentral describes it as "partial 23S ribosomal RNA". It matches the Rfam family "Bacterial large subunit ribosomal RNA". Lineage: Bacteria; Pseudomonadati; Pseudomonadota; Gammaproteobacteria; Enterobacterales; Enterobacteriaceae. The record is from RNAcentral.
CAGUGUGACUCGUCACACUAUCAUUAACUGAAUCCAUAGGUUAAUGAGGCGAACCGGGGGAACUGAAACAUCUAAGUACCCCGAGGAAAAGAAAUCAACCGAGAUUCCCCCAGUAGCGGCGAGCGAACGGGGAGGAGCCCAGAGCCUGAAUCAGCAUGUGUGUUAGUGGAAGCGUCUGGAAAGGCGCGCGAUACAGGGUGACAGCCCCGUACACAAAAGCGCAUGUGCUGUGAGCUCGAUGAGUAGGGCGGGACACGUGGUAUCCUGUCUGAAUAUGGGGGGACCAUCCUCCAAGGCUAAAUACUCCUGACUGACCGAUAGUGAACCAGUACCGUGAGGGAAAGGCGAAAAGAACCCCGGCGAGGGGAGUGAAAAAGAACCUGAAACCGUGUACGUACAAGCAGUGGGAGCACAGGUUUACCUGUGUGACUGCGUACCUUUUGUAUAAUGGGUCAGCGACUUAUAUUCUGUAGCAAGGUUAACCGAAUAGGGGAGCCGGAGGGAAACCGAGUCUUAAUUGGGCGUUAAGUUGCAGGGUAUAGACCCGAAACCCGGUGAUCUAGCCAUGGGCAGGUUGAAGGUUGGGUAACACUAACUGGAGGACCGAACCGACUAAUGUUGAAAAAUUAGCGGAUGACCUGUGGCUGGGGGUGAAAGGCCAAUCAAACCGGGAGAUAGCUGGUUCUCCCCGAAAGCUAUUUAGGUAGCGCCUCGUGAAUUCAUCUCCGGGGGUAGAGCACUGUUUCGGCUAGGGGGCCAUCCCGGCUUACCAACCCGAUGCAAACUGCGAAUACCGGAGAAUGUUAUCACGGGAGACACACGGCGGGUGCUAACGUCCGUCGUGAAGAGGGAAACAACCCAGACCGCCAGCUAAGGUCCCAAAGUCAUGGUUAAGUGGGAAACGAUGUGGGAAGGCCCAGACAGCCAGGAUGUUGGCUUAGAAGCAGCCAUCAUUUAAAGAAAGCGUAAUAGCUCACUGGUCGAGUCGGCCUGCGCGGAAGAUGUAACGGGGCUAAACCAUGCACCGAAGCUGCGGCAGCGACACUGUGUGUUGUUGGGUAGGGGAGCGUUCUGUAAGCCUGCGAAGGUGGCCUGUGAGGGUUGCUGGAGGUAUCAGAAGUGCGAAUGCUGACAUAAGUAACGAUAAAGCGGGUGAAAAGCCCGCUCGCCGGAAGACCAAGGGUUCCUGUCCAACGUUAAUCGGGGCAGGGUGAGUCGACCCCUAAGGCGAGGCCGAAAGGCGUAGUCGAUGGGAAACGGGUUAAUAUUCCCGUACUUGGUGUUACUGCGAAGGGGGGACGGAGAAGGCUAUGUUGGCCGGGCGACGGUUGUCCCGGUUUAAGCGUGUAGGUGUGUGUUCCAGGUAAAUCCGGUUCACUUUAACACUGAGGCGUGACGACGAGGCACUACGGUGCUGAAGCAACAAAUGCCCUGCUUCCAGGAAAAGCCUCUAAGCAUCAGGUAACAUCAAAUCGUACCCCAAACCGACACAGGUGGUCAGGUAGAGAAUACCAAGGCGCUUGAGAGAACUCGGGUGAAGGAACUAGGCAAAAUGGUGCCGUAACUUCGGGAGAAGGCACGCUGACACGUAGGUGAAGUGAUUUACUCAUGGAGCUGAAGUCAGUCGAAGAUACCAGCUGGCUGCAACUGUUUAUUAAAAACACAGCACUGUGCAAACACGAAAGUGGACGUAUACGGUGUGACGCCUGCCCGGUGCCGGAAGGUUAAUUGAUGGGGUCAGCGCAAGCGAAGCUCCUGAUCGAAGCCCCGGUAAACGGCGGCCGUAACUAUAACGGUCCUAAGGUAGCGAAAUUCCUUGUCGGGUAAGUUCCGACCUGCACGAAUGGCGUAAUGAUGGCCAGGCUGUCUCCACCCGAGACUCAGUGAAAUUGAACUCGCUGUGAAGAUGCAGUGUACCCGCGGCAAGACGGAAAGACCCCGUGAACCUUUACUAUAGCUUGACACUGAACAUUGAGCCUUGAUGUGUAGGAUAGGUGGGAGGCUUUGAAGUGUGGACGCCAGUCUGCAUGGAGCCGACCUUGAAAUACCACCCUUUAAUGUUUGAUGUUCUAACGUGGACCCGUUACCCGGGUUGCGGACAGUGUCUGGUGGGUAGUUUGACUGGGGCGGUCUCCUCCUAAAGAGUAACGGAGGAGCACGAAGGUUGGCUAAUCCUGGUCGGACAUCAGGAGGUUAGUGCAAUGGCAUAAGCCAGCUUGACUGCGAGCGUGACGGCGCGAGCAGGUGCGAAAGCAGGUCAUAGUGAUCCGGUGGUUCUGAAUGGAAGGGCCAUCGCUCAACGGAUAAAAGGUACUCCGGGGAUAACAGGCUGAUACCGCCCAAGAGUUCAUAUCGACGGCGGUGUUUGGCACCUCGAUGUCGGCUCAUCACAUCCUGGGGCUGAAGUAGGUCCCAAGGGUAUGGCUGUUCGCCAUUUAAAGUGGUACGCGAGCUGGGUUUAGAACGUCGUGAGACAGUUCGGUCCCUAUCUGCCGUGGGCGCUGGAGAACUGAGGGGGGCUGCUCCUAGUACGAGAGGACCGGAGUGGACGCAUCACUGGUGUUCGGGUUGUCAUGCCAAUGGCACUGCCCGGUAGCUAAAUGCGGAAGAGAUAAGUGCUGAAAGCAUCUAAGCACGAAACUUGCCCCGAG